GACGAACGCUGGCGGCGUGCUUAACACAUGCAAGUCGAACGAAGAGCGAUGGAAGCUUGCUUCUAUCAAUCUUAGUGGCGAACGGGUGAGUAACGCGUAAUCAACCUGCCCUUCAGAGGGGGACAACAGUUGGAAACGACUGCUAAUACCGCAUACGAUCUAACCUCGGCAUCGAGGAAAGAUGAAAGGUGGCCUCUAUGUAUAAGCUAUCACUGAAGGAGGGGAUUGCGUCUGAUUAGCUAGUUGGAGGGGUAACGGCCCACCAAGGCGAUGAUCAGUAGCCGGUCUGAGAGGAUGAACGGCCACAUUGGGACUGAGACACGGCCCAGACUCCUACGGGAGGCAGCAGUGGGGAACCUUCCGCAAUGGACGAAAGUCUGACGGAGCAACGCCGCGUGAGUGAUGACGGCCUUCGGGUUGUAAAGCUCUGUUAAUCGGGACGAAAGGCCUUCUUGCGAAUAGUGAGAAGGAUUGACGGUACCGGAAUAGAAAGCCACGGCUAACUACGUG
This 510-nucleotide ribosomal RNA is filed under the name uncultured bacterium. RNAcentral describes it as "partial 16S ribosomal RNA". It matches the Rfam family "Bacterial small subunit ribosomal RNA", at positions 28 to 507 of the family's 1533-position model. The record is from RNAcentral.